AAGAAAGUAUGCAAGAACUGCUAAUUCAUGCCACCAUGUAUAAACACAUGGCUUUCUUAC
Molecule: transfer RNA, 60 nt
Filed under: Onychomys leucogaster (northern grasshopper mouse)
Lineage: Eukaryota; Metazoa; Chordata; Mammalia; Rodentia; Cricetidae
Description: tRNA-Ser
Source: RNAcentral